UAAUUUGAUAUUUAGAGUCAAAAACGAAUCUAACAAUAAAAAUUGUAAGUACAAUUCUAAUUAAAAGAUGAUGUGUAAAAAAUAAAAGCUGAAUCAAAUUAAUGAAAUGAUUUGAUUGGAAGAUAGAAAGCUGAUGUGUCAGCUCCAGAAUAGCCUAAAAUGCUGACGUGGCGGAAGGAUGGAGAGAGUUGGCCUCCUUUCAUAUAUAUAUAUAUAUAUAUAUAUAUAUAUAUAUAUAUAUAUAUAUGAUUUUUUUGCAUCAACUAGAUAGCAUUAUACAUUAGUAUGGAUAGAAAUAUAAAAUUCUUUUAAUUUUAUUGUAUUUAUGCUUAAGCUUUUCUAGUUUUGUUAUGUUCUUUUUGUUUGAUAUAUUUAUUUAUAUAUAUAAAUAUAAUGUAAGACAUAUAAUGUAAGGCAUACAAAAAAUAUUUAUUUUUAUAUAUAUUUUUAUUUUUUUCAGAACCAACAUUAUGUUUAACGUCCAAAUAAUAACGUCGGUUGUUGAAAAAUUAUUCACGUUGAUUAUAUAACUGACGCUAUGUUUAUUGUCCGUUUAUUAUUUAUUUUGUUAUUUAUGGUCAUUUUGUUUAAUAAAAAGAAAUAUUAUAAUAAAAACUUUUCUUUUUUUGAUUCUGGACCCCGAGAGUUAUUUCUUUCAAUCUCUUAACUAUAAAUUUUUAAGAAACAGUUGACCAAUAUCAAAUCUUCAAUUAAUUAAACAAGUAGUUCUACAUGAACAUAAAUAUCUUAGAAAAGUUCUACAUACACAUAAAUAUUUUAGAAAAAACGGUCAAAUCCAUGAUAUAUCAUCUAGCAUGCUAAUCUUAUAGCAGUCUGAAAAAAUAAAGACUUCGAGGAGAAGGUACAACAUAUGCAUAUUGUUGACCGUGCAAGAUUCAAAUGUUAACAUAAGAACAGAACAACAAUGAACCAUAUAGAGGAAAAGUCCAAUUUAUAUGUAAAUGCAAAACCUUUACUAAGGCUCACAAAACAGCUAAAGCAUCAAAAACUUCCCGUGGACAAAACGUAGAGAAAGCCAUAACAUCAAAAUUGUUUCAUACUUUCAUUUGUAUGUUAUUUCUCUAUAAAGGAACUCAAUUCCACUGCUAAGUCAAGAUUUUAUGUAAAACAAGACUAAUUUCCAUAAAUUUUAUUUUCUAACAUUAGUGAUUCAAUAGCAUGACGAGAAAUGAACAGAUCCAAAUCCAAAACAACCAUGGGAAAUGUGAAUUAUUCAUCUUUCGACAUUGAAAUUGGAAAAAAAAUCACUAAAGAUUGAAUCAAAUCCUUUGUUUUAAAUCAAAAGACUUAGAGCAUCUCAAAUGCCUACUUCUAUUUUAGAGCACCUUUAUUUUGGAGGUGAUUUACGAAAUCGAUUUCAGAGCAAUCGACGAUGCAAGUUACGAAAGUUUCCAGUGUUCUCCAAUAUCGAAAUUUCAGUUUCCAGUGUACUCUCAUAUCUUUUUUGUAUGCCUUACAUUAUAUUUAUAUAUAAAUAAA
Molecule: long non-coding RNA, 1500 nt
Filed under: Arabidopsis lyrata
Lineage: Eukaryota; Viridiplantae; Streptophyta; Magnoliopsida; Brassicales; Brassicaceae
Description: long non-coding RNA (ALYR_LNC002558)
Source: RNAcentral